AGAUUAAACAUGAAAUAAAGUUGAUAUAGAAUUUUAGAGUGGUACAAUCAACUCUCACCAUCUUAUUGACUUGUAACCAUCGAUGAUGCCUCCACCCAACUCUCACCCUGAUAAAGUUUUGGACGCGAUUAAGCAAGCGUGAGAAGAUCGCAGGAGCACAGAGUGACGAGCGAGAGAGAUGAGAGCAAACCCUAAGGUUUAGAGAAACGAAGCGACAAGCCGCAGACAGUUUCAAAAAAUAGUGGAACAACUUAGUUGAAUAACAUUAAAAAAGAGUUAUUUAUACACACCCCGAUUCACAGACGGAUGGGCGUCUCCUGCGGCGCG
This 327-nucleotide long non-coding RNA is filed under the name Zostera marina. RNAcentral's name for it is "long non-coding RNA (ZMAR_LNC003219)". The record is from RNAcentral. Lineage: Eukaryota; Viridiplantae; Streptophyta; Magnoliopsida; Alismatales; Zosteraceae.